Labrus bergylta (ballan wrasse) is the source of this 115-nucleotide non-coding RNA. Lineage: Eukaryota; Metazoa; Chordata; Actinopteri; Labriformes; Labridae. The record is from RefSeq and is a predicted model, not a curated record.
UAUUUUUUGUGUCACAGCAAGAAAUUCAUCAGUUCCCCAUGUGGUCCUGCAGCUAAAGGGGCUGGUUCAGCACUUCCUGGGUUCUCAAACAGAGCUGUUCUUUCCAUUGGAAUUA